Molecule: ribosomal RNA, 530 nt
Filed under: Actinomycetota bacterium
Lineage: Bacteria; Bacillati; Actinomycetota
Description: bacterial SSU rRNA
Rfam family: Bacterial small subunit ribosomal RNA
Source: RNAcentral
GUUGGAGAGUUUGAUCCUGGCUCAGGACGAACGUUGGCGGCGUGCCUAAUGCAUGCAAGUCGAACGAGGGACCUUUUCCGGGCAACCGGAGGAGGUCACCUAGUGGCGAACGGGUGAGUAGCACUUGAGGAACCUGCCCCGGAGACCGGAAUAGCCCAGGGAAACUUGGAUUAAUGCCGGAUGUCCUCGGUUGGCCGCAUGGCCGGCCGAGGAAACAGUCCGCUGCUCCGGGAUGGCCUCGAGGCCUAUCAGCUAGUUGGUGAGGUAACGGCCCACCAAGGCGACGACGGGUAGCUGGUCUGAGAGGACGAUCAGCCACACUGGGACUGAGACACGGCCCAGACUCCUGCGGGAGGCAGCAGCAGGGAAUUUUGCACAAUGGACGAAAGUCUGAUGCAGCGACGCCGCGUGGGGGAUGAAUGCCUUCGGGUUGUAAACCCCUUUCAGGAGGGACGAAGCGAAAGUGACGGUACCUUCAGAAGAAGCCCCGGCCAACUACGUGCCAGCAGCCGCGGUAAUACGUAGGGGGC